Molecule: long non-coding RNA, 355 nt
Filed under: Coffea arabica (coffee)
Lineage: Eukaryota; Viridiplantae; Streptophyta; Magnoliopsida; Gentianales; Rubiaceae
Description: long non-coding RNA (CARA_LNC006939)
Source: RNAcentral
CAAUUUCUGCCCACAAAAAAAGCUCACCACUGCCUCACAUACGUCCCCCGCCACCACCUCCCAUGCAAAGGUAAAAAACCUCCCAGUUAAGUCGUCUGGUCCCGCUGCACUCUCUCCAUCCAUUCCAAACACCACUUCUCUUACCUCCUCCAUCUCCGGAACAUUCACUAACUCCCCAUUUUGUGUGUGAGAAACCAUGUGGGGGAGAGGCAUGUUAAGUGUAUCCCAGGAACCUGACGAAGUCUCCGUCGAGAAUAAAAUUUUAAAAUAUUCAACUGCCUUCGCUGCAAUCCGAUCAUCAUCUACCAUCAAUCCCCAGUUGCACCUUUGAUCCGAUGUAUGACCGUCUUCGCCC